GCCCCCCUAAUUUUGCAAGUCGAACGGCAGCACGGCAGUAGCAAUACUGUGGGUGGCGAGUGGCGGACGGGUGAGGAAUACAUCGGGAUCUACCCUGUUGUGGGGGAUAACGUAGGGAAACUUACGCUAAUACCGCAUAAGAACUGAGGUUGAAAGCGGCGGACCGCAAGGCGUCGCGCGAUUGGAUGAACCGAUGUCCGAUUAGCUAGUUGGCGGGGUAAAGGCCCACCAAGGCGACGAUCGGUAGCUGGUCUGAGAGGACGACCAGCCACACUGGAACUGAGACACGGUCCAGACUCCUACGGGAGGCAGCAGUGGGGAAUAUUGGACAAUGGGCGCAAGCCUGAUCCAGCCAUGCCGCGUGGGUGAAGAAGGCCUUCGGGUUGUAAAGCCCCUUUGUCCGGAAAGAAAAGCAUUCGGUUAAUACCCGGGUGUUCUGACGGUACCGGAAGAAUAAGCACCGGCUAACUUCGUGCCAGCAGCCGCGGUAAUACGAAGGGUGCAAGCGUUACUCGGAAUUACUGGGCGUAAAGCGUGCGUAGGUGGUUCGUAAGUCUGUCGUGAAAUCCCCGGGCUCACCCU
RNAcentral lists this ribosomal RNA (582 nucleotides) under uncultured bacterium. RNAcentral describes it as "bacterial SSU rRNA". It matches the Rfam family "Bacterial small subunit ribosomal RNA", at positions 42 to 615 of the family's 1533-position model. The record is from RNAcentral.